This 371-nucleotide ribosomal RNA is filed under the name uncultured bacterium. RNAcentral's name for it is "bacterial SSU rRNA". It matches the Rfam family "Bacterial small subunit ribosomal RNA", at positions 29 to 427 of the family's 1533-position model. The record is from RNAcentral.
AACGAACGCUGGCGGCAUGCCUAACACAUGCAAGUCGAACGAGACCUCCGGGUCUAGUGGCGCACGGGUGCGUAACGCGUGGGAAUCUGCCCUUGGGUUCGGAAUAACAGCGAGAAAUUGCUGCUAAUACCGGAUGAUGACGUAAGUCCAAAGAUUUAUCGCCCAAGGAUGAGCCCGCGUAGGAUUAGCUAGUUGGUGAGGUAAAAGGCUCACCAAGGCGACGAUCCUUAGCUGGUCUGAGAGGAUGAUCAGCCACACUGGGGCUGAGACACGGCCCAGACUCCUACGGGAGGCAGCAGUGGGGAAUAUUGGACAAUGGGCGAAAGCCUGAUCCAGCAAUGCCGCGUGAGUGAAGAAGGCCUCGGGUUGGU